GGGCGUUAAGUUGCAGGGUAUAGACCCGAAACCCGGUGAUCUAGCCAUGGGCAGGUUGAAGGUUGGGUAACACUAACUGGAGGACCGAACCGACUAAUGUUGAAAAAUUAGCGGAUGACCUGUGGCUGGGGGUGAAAGGCCAAUCAAACCGGGAGAUAGCUGGUUCUCCCCGAAAGCUAUUUAGGUAGCGCCUCGUGAAUUCAUCUCCGGGGGUAGAGCACUGUUUCGGCUAGGGGGCCAUCCCGGCUUACCAACCCGAUGCAAACUGCGAAUACCGGAGAAUGUUAUCACGGGAGACACACGGCGGGUGCUAACGUCCGUCGUGAAGAGGGAAACAACCCAGACCGCCAGCUAAGGUCCCAAAGUCAUGGUUAAGUGGGAAACGAUGUGGGAAGGCCCAGACAGCCAGGAUGUUGGCUUAGAAGCAGCCAUCAUUUAAAGAAAGCGUAAUAGCUCACUGGUCGAGUCGGCCUGCGCGGAAGAUGUAACGGGGCUAAACCAUGCACCGAAGCUGCGGCAGCGACGCUGAUGCGUUGUUGGGUAGGGGAGCGUUCUGUAAGCCUGUGAAGGUGGCCUGUGAGGGUUGCUGGAGGUAUCAGAAGUGCGAAUGCUGACAUAAGUAACGAUAAAGCGGGUGAAAAGCCCGCUCGCCGGAAGACCAAGGGUUCCUGUCCAACGUUAAUCGGGGCAGGGUGAGUCGACCCCUAAGGC
Molecule: ribosomal RNA, 711 nt
Filed under: Salmonella enterica subsp. enterica serovar Goldcoast
Lineage: Bacteria; Pseudomonadati; Pseudomonadota; Gammaproteobacteria; Enterobacterales; Enterobacteriaceae
Description: partial 23S ribosomal RNA
Rfam family: Bacterial large subunit ribosomal RNA
Source: RNAcentral